RNAcentral lists this ribosomal RNA (415 nucleotides) under uncultured bacterium. RNAcentral describes it as "bacterial SSU rRNA". It matches the Rfam family "Bacterial small subunit ribosomal RNA", at positions 355 to 787 of the family's 1533-position model. The record is from RNAcentral.
UAGGGAAUAUUGCACAAUGGGGAAGACCCUGAUGCAGCGACGCCGCGUGAAGGAAGAAGUAUCUCGGUAUGUAAACUUCUAUCAGCAGGGAAGACAAUGACGGUACCUGACUAAGAAGCCCCGGCUAACUACGUGCCAGCAGCCGCGGUAAUACGUAGGGGGCAAGCGUUAUCCGGAUUUACUGGGUGUAAAGGGAGCGUAGACGGCGAUGCAAGUCUGGAGUGAAAACCCAGGGCUCAACUCUGGGAUUGCUUUGGAAACUGUAUAGCUGGAGUGCAGGAGAGGCAGGCGGAAUUCCUAGUGUAGCGGUGAAAUGCGUAGAUAUUAGGAGGAACACCAGUGGCGAAGGCGGCCUGCUGGACUGAGACUGACGUUGAGGCUCGAAGGCGUGGGGAGCAAACAGGAUUAGAUACCC